Molecule: long non-coding RNA, 2210 nt
Filed under: Olea europaea subsp. europaea
Lineage: Eukaryota; Viridiplantae; Streptophyta; Magnoliopsida; Lamiales; Oleaceae
Source: RNAcentral
CUUGGAAGUAUCAAACCCAAAUUAUUCAUAGUACCAAUACGGUGAAAGACUUUAAUUAUUAAAGCAUCAAAAGCAUGUGAUCUCAUGAGUUAUAACGCGUAGCAUGUACAGCAAUAUCAAGGCAAAUUGGUUACAUGGAAGCAAUACUCGAGCCAAGGUGGCCAAUAAAUGUAACGUACUUUACUGCACCACAAGAGAAAUCAGAACUAAUAAUCAUUUUAUGAGUAUCAAGUCUUCAUUCGAGCUUAACUUGAACAGAAGAAUUGCCAAGAGAGGAAGUUUUUUCAUCAUCCUCAUAGAUGUUCUCAUAUGAAAAUUCGACAGCCAACAAAUGGAAGAUCAUAACCUCAAAUGUUGAAUUCUCAUUAUACACAACAAGAAAUCAAUUAUUUUCGAGCACGUGGUGGUCAAAGAAAUGAUAUCGGGGUAAAGAAAAAUACAAUAAAUUAUUUACCUUUUUGAGAUGGAAUUCCCAAACUAUGCCCUUGUAGUCAAUCACACGUGCUGAUGACUAAGCUAAUGUCUACGCUCAUGAACAAAAGCUCUCAAAAAUGGCUGUCCAACAUGCAUCGUGUUUUAUAAGUUACAAUUAGAUCGUGUAUAUCAACAUAUCCUAUUGAAUUGCCCUUAUUCCAUGCUUUUCAGUUUCACCAAUUUUGACCAUCAUCUCCGUUGAGACCUCCUUUUACCUGCCAAUUAUGGUUAAUCCGUAUUGGAACAACAACCUGAUAGGUUUGAGGAACCUCAAUGGUUGUUCAUGUUCUUUGAUGCUCAACAUUCUUUUACUGUUCUCCUUUUUUUGCUCCAUCAACCGAAACCAAAUUCAACAAAGGGCAAAGGAAACACAAUUUCAGCCCCCCGGGGCACAGCUCAACUGGAGGAUCAAUCAACAUUGGCUUGCUUCCAGCGGCAGGGUGGAGAGUUCGAUUCCUGGUGGGAACCUGCAGCCAAAAAUUUGGUAUGGAGCAAUCACUGUGGAGGAGGGUCUCUUGUGCGUAGAAGUGUACAGUCAAUGGGGGAACCUGUGAUCCAAUUGAGGCAUAACCCGCGAUUUACCCCCUCCAAAGUUCUAGGGGCAUGAGUUUUGGAGGUCCAGGAUUUAAUCUGAUGUAAGCUGGGAUACCUGGAUAUCAAAAAAAAAAAAAACACAAUUUCAAUUAAGUGAGAAACAACAUUAAAAUCCAUCCCACAACAGAAAUACCCUUUCACAUAGAACCAAAAGUAAUUCAUUAAAUGAAGGUUUUGAAACAGCCACGAGUAAUAAAAAUACUAUACACGUGUCAGGCUUGAAAGACUUAUAUGGUAAUCUUUUAAAAUAGAAAAACUAAAUAGAAGUAGGCAAAUAUUGUUAUUCAUAUUUGUCUGAAUCACUAAACAGAAAAAAAAAAAAAAAAAAAGAGUUACAGAUAAAUAAUAGAGAUGAACUUAAUCUGAAUAAGGUGAAAAUCAACAAAAAAAUAGAAAAGACAGGAAAAUACACUGAUACAAAUGCUACAAGUAUACAUAUUUACACAUAAAAGCUGAAGAAGUUGUUAGUCUUUAUUCAAACCUCAACUGCAAGCCCUUUCAAAACUCAAUGCUAAAAAAUCAAAGAAAUUGCUAAAAAGGAAAAGAAAACCAUUAUCUAGGGCAUAAAAUCUGGUGUCUUGUGGAAAUUUAAAAUAUUUAUGUAAAUGAUUGAGGCCAAAGCAAAUCAUUCAUCCAAAAGGUUGAAGUUGCCUGCCUCUAUGUCAGAGUCUAAAUGGCUGUCAAGAGGGAGUACCUUACUGGCCGCUUCAACAUCAAUAGCUUCUUUAUACCUGAAUUUUGUAGCCGAACUGACAUCCAGAUCAUCUUCAUUAACAAUAGGAGACAGAUUUAGCUCAUUCCCUUGGUGAAUUUAAGUAAAGGCCCGAGAUGAAAGCUUCAAACAUGAUAAAUGUUGCCUCAAGUUUGAGAAAGCUGACAAAAUUGAAGCAUCAGGUACAAUUUUUUUCUAUGUAACCCAUAACCACGGUCAUGGAAAAGCAAAAGGUUGAUAUAUUAGAAAAGAUUCACAGUGAUUUCAGAAACUCUAUAUUAUUGGCACCAGAAAAAAGAUUUUUUGGUCUAGUUGAAACUGAAGCAAUACUUGAGUACACCUUAUGAAACACAAAAUUAUAGUAAUGGUUUGAUUUCAGGAUCAAAUGAUUGGUGUAUUUUCUCGACCCCACAGAGAAAAUGGUAGUACA